RNAcentral lists this long non-coding RNA (208 nucleotides) under Elaeis guineensis (African oil palm). RNAcentral's name for it is "long non-coding RNA (EGUI_LNC021954)". Lineage: Eukaryota; Viridiplantae; Streptophyta; Magnoliopsida; Arecales; Arecaceae. The record is from RNAcentral.
CUCAGGAUGUAUCCACUCCUUCGGGCAGCUUAAGCAUUCUUUCGUGGUCCAUUUCAGCACCAGUUGGAAGCCGUCACGAAUCUCGGACAGUCUUUUCUCCCUCAAACAGGGAGAAAAUGAGACACUCCGAUACUUUAUGGCUCGAUUCAACACGGCCACACUUGAGGUCCCGAUUCUUAUACUCCUUGGACAAGAUUCUCCCCCAGAC